ACCGAUGACGGCGACUACAACGUCAAGCUGCGUAACCUCGUACGCUUCCUCGAAGACGGCGACAAGACGAAAAUCACGUUGCGUUUCCGCGGUCGCGAAAUGGCGCACCAGGAAAUCGGCAUGCGCAUGCUCGAGCGCCUGCGCACUGACCUCGACGAAGUCGGCGCGGUCGAGCAGAUGCCGAAGAUGGAAGGGCGCCAGAUGAUCAUGGUGCUGGGCCCGAAAAAGAAGAAGUAAGCAGCGCGCUGCGCAUCGUUCGGUGCGCAACGUCGAUGCUGUCGUGCAGAACAGGCAGUACCCGUCGGUGAUCGACGGA
RNAcentral lists this unclassified non-coding RNA (316 nucleotides) under Paraburkholderia sartisoli. RNAcentral describes it as "Long range pseudoknot". Lineage: Bacteria; Pseudomonadati; Pseudomonadota; Betaproteobacteria; Burkholderiales; Burkholderiaceae. The record is from RNAcentral.